UACAGAGGGUGCGAGCGUUAAUCGGAGUGACUGGGCGUAAAGGGCACGUAGGCGGUUUAUUUAGUCUGAUGUGAAAUCACUAGGCUUAACCUGGUAUCUGCAUUGGAAACGGAUAAGCUAGAGUAUUGGAGAGGGAAGUGGAAUUUCCGGUGUAGCGGUGAAAUGCGUAGAGAUCGGAAAGAACACUCGUGGCGAAGGCGACUUCCUGGCCAAAUACUGACGCUGAGGUGCGAAAGCGUGGGUAGCAAACAGG
RNAcentral lists this ribosomal RNA (253 nucleotides) under uncultured bacterium. RNAcentral's name for it is "partial 16S ribosomal RNA". It matches the Rfam family "Bacterial small subunit ribosomal RNA", at positions 524 to 776 of the family's 1533-position model. The record is from RNAcentral.